GUCGAACGCUGGCGGCGUGCUUAACACAUGCAAGUCGAACGGAAAGGCCCUGCUUUUGUGGGGUGCUCGAGUGGCGAACGGGUGAGUAACACGUGAGUAACCUGCCCUUGACUUUGGGAUAACUUCAGGAAACUGGGGCUAAUACCGGAUAGGAGCUCCUGCUGCAUGGUGGGGGUUGGAAAGUUUCGGCGGGUGGGGAUGGACUCGCGGCUUAUCAGCUUGUUGGUGGGGUAGUGGCUUGCCAAGGCUUUGACGGGUAGCCGGCCUGAGAGGGUGACCGGCCACAUUGGGCCUGAGAGACGGCCCAGACUCCUAUGGGAGGCAGCAGUGGGGAAUAUUGCACAAUGGGCGGAAGCCUGAUGCAGCAACGCCGCGUGCGGGAUGACGGCCUUCGGGUUGUAAACCGCUGUCGCCUGUGACGAAGCGUGAGUGACGGUAAUGGGUAAAGAAGCACCGGCUAACUACGUG
This 468-nucleotide ribosomal RNA is filed under the name uncultured bacterium. Its description in RNAcentral is "partial 16S ribosomal RNA". It matches the Rfam family "Bacterial small subunit ribosomal RNA", at positions 28 to 507 of the family's 1533-position model. The record is from RNAcentral.